RNAcentral lists this small RNA (1311 nucleotides) under Vigna angularis var. angularis. Its description in RNAcentral is "Non-protein coding transcript". The record is from RNAcentral. Lineage: Eukaryota; Viridiplantae; Streptophyta; Magnoliopsida; Fabales; Fabaceae.
CAUGACCUUAGAAGGGGUUCCUUCAUUCUCCAACUCUGAACUCAUUUUUCAGUGGUGUGCUCUCGUUCACGGAGUUGAGAGUUUCCCUUUCAUCCGAUUGAAAUUCUGAUUUGGACGGGUAAGUCAAUUCCUCCACUUUUCUUGAACCUAGGGCAUGCAACUCUACUGGUUGUAUGCAACUGGUGGUGCUCCAUUUCGAUUUUCUGUCCAUUCUAGUUUUAAGAGCUGUUUUCAUCACCAUUUAGGUAGUUGUAGGGCACUCUUGGAUUCUCACUGUGAGGGGCACGGUUAGGACACUCUAGUUGAAUAUACUAUUUGACUUUCAGGUAAGGGGAGCUAACUAUGUUUCAGUAUAUUAUUUGUAUGACGUGUAUGAUGGAUAAAUUUUUGAAGUAAGUAUGUCCUUAUGCUUGAGUUGGAUUCCUGUAACUUAAAUUGAAUGUGUUUGGAUACUGAGUUGGAUGAACUAUAAUGUGAUGUGUUGUAUGUUCUGUUGGGUGUAUUGAUUGACUGAAAUAAUUCACUCUUUGAAGUAGUUACACGUGUGGAGACUGUUAGACCAAAUUUUAGUGAGAAAAUAUAUACUUGGGUUGUGUUUAGUGGAAGUAUUAACCUUAGGGGUAAAAGGGAGAAAAUGUAUUUUAUGAUAGAAGUGGUUAGUGUUUUAUGUGGAUAAAGAGAUGCAGUAGAGAGUAGGAAGUUCUGUGAAAAUGGAUUAAGAAAGAGAGAGUAGGGAGGGUCUCGGGUUAGAGAAUAUAGAAAGAAAAAUGGGUUUCCUUUCUCCUACGUAGAGGUUACGUACAUUUAGGUGGGAAGAUUGGGUGGUACAAUUGUAGGGUGAAGUUGAACUAGAGGAAGAAAAAUGGGUUACUGUGUUGCAGUAGAAGAAAAGGAGGAUGAAGUCUUGAGGGGUUUAAGGGGUAGAAUGGUGUUAUUAGUAGAGAAAGGGAAAGGUGUGGGGUAGGAGUUACUAGUUAAGCAUUGGUGGUGAAGGGAAGAGCUUCAGAUGAGCCUAAGAGGAAAAAGAAAAAGAAAAAAAAAAGGAGGUAGUGAAAGGUCUAUAUUACGUGACCUUUCAUGAGGAGAAAGUGAUAGAUUGUGGUUACUGUAAAGAGAAAUAAAGAAAGCUUGAGUAGUUGGGUCUGUGAGCAAUGAGGAUGAAAGGAACGGGAGGUUGGGUAUGCAUGGGUUGCUUAUCCAGGGGAUGGAAUUUUGCAUAGAAUUUACGUGGGAAGGAAGAUAUAAGGUUUUAUAAAAUGAAAGGAGAAGAGGGAGUUAGAAGAAAAAAAAAAGAGCUACGGUAGGUAUGGG